Perca flavescens (yellow perch) is the source of this 157-nucleotide long non-coding RNA. RefSeq lists it as uncharacterized. Lineage: Eukaryota; Metazoa; Chordata; Actinopteri; Perciformes; Percidae. The transcript has 3 exons. The record is from RefSeq and is a predicted model, not a curated record.
GGGGCUCUGCACCUGGCGGGACGAGCAGCACAGGCAUCGGCAGCGGACGGUACCCUGACCUAGAAGCAACCUUACUCCAAGUGGAAUGAUCCUUGUGGUGUGAGGAUGCUGUGGAAGUGUGUUCAUGGAAUUCAGCAGGAUUGUGGGCAAGAACCUC